Molecule: long non-coding RNA, 776 nt
Filed under: Anser brachyrhynchus (Pink-footed goose)
Lineage: Eukaryota; Metazoa; Chordata; Aves; Anseriformes; Anatidae
Description: lncRNA (ENSABRG00000002247.1)
Source: RNAcentral
CUAAUCUCAAGAUUUCUGUUAUUUUUCUGCCUUGGGACUCCAGAUUGAGAUGCUCUGGCUGGACCUACAUGUGGACAAGCUGCUGAACUGCAGAAAACAUUGCUGCCUUGUUACCAAGAAAGUGGUUGGCUUCAAGUACCAUCUUUCUUGGAAACCUAUUGUCCAACUGUGGGAGGAAGAAAAGAAUUUCUUGGGAGUUGCUCCCCAGGGAGAGACAGAACUAAUCCACCUCCGCUGUUCUUGCGGGGUGUGCUGUUGUGAACAAAACAAGUUCUCUUUUAAAACACAGAAAAAAAACAAGUUGCCAGAAGAAGCCUGACAAAGAACACAUGUAUGUCAACAUUUUUCUUUGCUAGAAGAAAACACACAAGAUCUUUUUCAUUAGUGAAACAGUCAGAAUGCCAAGGUGAAAUAAUUCUGUGGGCAGUUCAGAAGCAGACAACUACAGUUUAUGAAGAUCUUUGUGAAUGUUAGAGACUAGAAUUGAAUAUCCAUGGCAGUCACUUUCAGUUCUGUCUCACAGUUGAGAAUAUUGCUUGAAAAUUAGGUAGAUAUUCCAGUUUCCCUCUCCCUCUUCCCUUUCCCACUUCAUUUUUAGUUAGUGUAUGUUUUGGUUAUCUUAGUGUUUUGUAAAUGCCUCAAAAAACAUGUUUUUUUGAGUACUAAGUGUAUUUCAAGAAAAUCAGCCAAAUUAUCCAGAAUGAAAAGUAAAGCUGAAAUUUAAAAUUCUUCAAAUAGCCUUAAAAAAUCUGCUUACUGAUUUGUUUAUUGAGAAU